RNAcentral lists this ribosomal RNA (460 nucleotides) under uncultured bacterium. Its description in RNAcentral is "partial 16S ribosomal RNA". It matches the Rfam family "Bacterial small subunit ribosomal RNA", at positions 338 to 795 of the family's 1533-position model. The record is from RNAcentral.
CCUACGGGAGGCAGCAGUGAGGAAUAUUGGUCAAUGGGCGGGAGCCUGAACCAGCCAAGUAGCGUGAAGGAUGACUGCCCUACGGGUUGUAAACUUCUUUUAUCAGGGAAUAAAGUGAGGUACGUGUGCCCUGUUGCAUGUACCUUAUGAAUAAGGAUCGGCUAACUCCGUGCCAGCAGCCGCGGUAAUACGGAGGAUCCGAGCGUUAUCCGGAUUUAUUGGGUUUAAAGGGAGCGUAGGUGGGCUGUUAAGUCAGUGGUGAAAGUUUGGGGCUCAACCCUCACAUUGCAGUGAAUACUGGCAGCCUUGAGUACAGUUGAGGUAGGCGGAAUGCGUGGUGUAGCGGUGAAAUGCAUAGAUAUCACGAAGAACUCCGAUUGCGAAGGCAGCUUACUGGACUGACACUGACGUUGAUGCACGAAAGUGUGGGUAUCGAACAGGAUUAGAUACCCUGGUAGUC